CAUUCCCAUUUUUCUUUUCUCUCAUUUUUUUUGAGAUUUUAAUAUUAAAAUAUUUUGAUUAAUUCUUUAUUAUUUCUCUAUAAUUAGUGUCAUUUAUUUGAAUUAAAUUUUGUUAGUAAUGGCAGAUGAACCUUUCUACUCCAUUCUCCACCCACAUUCACAGAUACAAGACCUUUUCUCUUCCUCUACCCACGUAGAAAACCAAACUCCUCAAUUUUUUUAAUUACUUAAAGAGUCUGGCUUUAUGUGACAUCCAACUUCUCGGCUAGUUUAUAUAUCCUCCAAAAUUGAAGCUGUCAACGUUGGUCGUCGAUUCUAUCGGCCGUUGAUUGAAGGAAUAGGCAUCACCGGACGGACUUUAUUCUACUACUAAUUUUGCAAUUAACAUCUUUGAACUUUAUCAUAUGUUUUUACCUCUUACGGAAAGACUAGGUGAGAAUGUUGAACCAUCAAUGAUUGAAAAAAAUGCUAUGGGAAGUAGUCUGAUCCAGCAGAGUGUUGUUGUUGGCCAGGUUUAGGGGCGGAGCCAGCCUUCUUUAGGGGUUCGUCCGAACCUCCUUCGACGGAAAAAUAUACUAUUUAAUGAGUUUCAUGUGAACCUAAUAUGAAGGCAACUUAUCAUCAAUAAGUAUAAAAUGAAUAUAAAGGCAUUCAUAACCCAAAAUAGAAGGUAAAUAACUUUCUUUUGUUUGUCUUCUUAAUCCUUCUUUCCUUCAUAUGUCCCAAUUGUAGGCUCUUAUAGUGAAGGCGACAGUAGAGAAGGAUGCCAGGAGUAGUGAACUGUACUGCAUAUAGUUCAUACUGAUUAUUGGCAAUAAAUGAAUACACAACAGAGAGAGCGGGAGAGCUGCUGAAGGAGUAAAUGCUAAAAAUUCCACAGCAAGCAACAUUAGAGGUGCUAUUGAGUGAAG
RNAcentral lists this long non-coding RNA (911 nucleotides) under Capsicum annuum. Its description in RNAcentral is "long non-coding RNA (CANN_LNC009140)". The record is from RNAcentral. Lineage: Eukaryota; Viridiplantae; Streptophyta; Magnoliopsida; Solanales; Solanaceae.